UCUAUUUACUCCGACGAGCCUGACCCGACCGUCCGCGGACAAAAGAAACUUUCCCGAACGACGAAACGAGUGAGUCGUUUUCACCCCCAUGGAACGUGGACAAAUUUGGAACGGGAGCAGCAAUGGGAACAGUCGUCCGAAACAACGACCUUGACAACAUGUUUCAAGGAUAUCGAAAUCAGUGCCGAGAAUUCUACUUGGAACGAUCGUCCGUCCUGGAAAACAAGCUUUCCGAAAGAAGAUGGUCGGAGAUAGCGACCGAAACGAGAGACGCGUUAUCUCGGAUAAGCGUCGCGAUUGAUCGGUAGAUAGAGGAGUAUACCUGUAAGGAGAACGCCGUCGAAUUCCAAACUAGCGGAGCAUCGUGGACGCGUCUCGAAGCAGCUCGGGCCUCGUCGGCAGGUUUCUCGGUUUUCUGGGCAUCCGACACGAGGAUCGGGAGGCUCGCAGUUUCGAAACGGUAAAUUGCUCAAGGCCGCAGCCUGUGCAGGUGAAAACCGCGCGCAUAGGCCGGCUGUCACGCGAGCGUCGCCGGCGCACACUGUGUGUCAGAGCGCGCGGCACGCGGCACGCGGCACGGCAUCCCGAUGGCUAUCCGUCGGUGAAGGCACGAUUCGAUAACCCGCCGAUUCGGGGUCAACAUGGCCGCCUUUUAUAACGCCGAGACGGUGAAAAGUCGCGUUCAGUGACAGCCGAUGCGUCCGCCGGAAUGGGAGACGCGACGCGUGCCACCCGGCCGCGCCGGGGAAAACGGCGUCGAGCGUUCAGCGUCGAGCGUCGACGUCGACGCGCCCGACGUCUCGCUAACGAGGGCAGCUUUUCACGCGGAAGCUCGAUGAGCGAUACACGCGUAAUUAGAGGCUCGAACGGCCGCGAACAGAAACGAGACACACGGGCGCACAAGUGUCCCUCUUUUCCCUUUUUUUUCCCUUCUUUUGAUUUUCACUAUUCGCCUUCGGGUCUGCCUCGGCGACGUUCGAAUGCGUCGACGGUGUUCGCGGUGAAUGCCGGUGCCGCGUCGUUAACGCGACGGAGCACCGUGAAACCGAGUCGCCGAUGUUUCCAGAUCCGUCGUUAUGCGCGGUGGUUAAGUGCAACGGAAUGCACCAAAGUUGCCGAUGGAUAUCGCGAAUGUUCGAUGCCGCCGAAGUUCGCGGACACGCUUCUUCCGGCACCGCCGCGGAUUUUGAACGAAGCGCGAGGCAAACGCGCGAUCCAGGUGGAAUGUGUCAGGAAAUAGAUGCGUCUCCUAUAUUUAUUUAUGUCUAACCGACGUAAAGAUUUGUUCGUCGCUGCAGUUUACAAGAAGUUCCGGAGGCUCGCAUAAAUUUCAUUUAUUCCAACGUUCCAAGUUGAAUUAAAAAAUUCUACAAUUUCAACGCGAACUUGGUCGCUUCUCUCCGCUGUGAAAAAUGUGGCGAACCGAAAAAUAAACGUCUCCGGCCGCUUUCGAUCUUCCCGCAUACUUUCGCAAUUUGUGUACCGUGGACAAAAAAUCGCAGCACGCGGGAUGGCGGCCGGUCGUCGGAACCGGCUAACCGGACAGGCGACCGUGCUAAUUGGUUCCACCGAAAAGUCCCGUGUCGGCCGACUUGUAAUCACCGUAAAAAAACGGUCGGCCGCCGCAAAAACUCAUCGGGCCAGGCGACUCGAUUUUUCCCUCCCCCUCGGUGACAAGUUUUUCCCGCGAAACCGCGCGGAAAUGUCUGGUGCCGCGAGCGCGUGGCCAGCCGCGAGGUGAAUGACAGUUGCGGACAGUUCGUACACAAGCACGUUCCACUGACCCUGGUCUGAAACGAUCCGGAUGAGCUGAAACGACCCGUUCCCUCCGCCCUCGCCCUCGCCCUCGCCCUCGCCCCUCUGGCCGCACGUGCCACCCCGUCGCGUCCCCUCGGCCCCCGGUCGACUUUCCGCACUCUUAUCCAAAGCCGAACCCCGGACCAGAACUGUCCGAAGAAAGCCGCACGCCGUUUCGCAGGAGAUAUUAGGAUAAGUUUCAUUCAUACAAACUUCGGAACAAAUCUCGACCUUCGGAAACCACGGGUCCCGAGGUGAGCGAGCUGCGCGCGAGACCGAACAAGCUGCUCGCCUCGCCACGGUACGGUAAAUUCUCCCACAUCGUUCCUGUUGGAGGUCUGCUGCAUCGAUAUUAUACGUAAUUACGCAUCUACUAAUUACAUCCGAGCCGAGGGACAAUGUGGGAGAAUUUACCGUGCAUAGGAUACAUGGAAAAUAAUCUUGAUUAAAAAUUGUUCAAAGAUGUCGUCCGACGCCUUUGGGAAAAAUAUAGCGUUGAACAGAAACGAUUAAA
Molecule: long non-coding RNA, 2311 nt
Organism: Megalopta genalis
Lineage: Eukaryota; Metazoa; Arthropoda; Insecta; Hymenoptera; Halictidae
Source: RefSeq, a predicted model, not a curated record